AAUGGCAGCCACGACUCUGAACGUGGACAGUGUUAUAGAACCUUUAGAGGACUCUUUAUCAAAACUUGGAUUAGAAGUUUACCCUCUCAAGGUUGGUUGGUACAACUCGUUGCUGCCUGCUUCAUUCCACCUGAGUUAUCCAGAUGACAGCCUGGCUGUGGUGGUGCUCAGCACUCCUGCUAUGUUUGAACUGGCCUUCCUGCCAUUCAUCGAGGAGCAGCGCUUCCAGGGACUGAGGGACCCCAUAGACCAGUGUGUCCAACACUGUGUCUCCGGUGCUGUCUCACAGUGUUUUCCUGGACAGAAGGUGGAUGUGAGGUAUGACUACGAGCUGCUGCCCAGCAGGAAGCCAAAAUUCCUGGCACAGACUGCGGCUCAUGUGUCUGGAGCAGCUUUCUACUAUCAGCAGUCCGACGUCACGGAUCAACCCUGGGCUGACAGAAAAAUGUUUGGGGUGUGCGUGCAUCCAAGGUUCGGGGGCUGGUUUGCCAUCCGAGCUCUGCUGGUGUUUGAAGAUGUGACGCUGGGCCCAGAGACGGUGCAGCCGCUUCCUCCUGACUGUGUACCGACCCGAGGCGGCAGGAUACAACUGCUGGAGGCUUUCAACUUUCGCUGGCAGGACUGGGGUUACAGGGACGUCGUCUGUCCAGUCCAGACGUACUCACAGAAACAGAGGGACUAUUUCUCCACUCCUCCUGCUCAGCGCUUUGCUCUGCUCAGGACAUGGGGUUUCCUGCCCAGGGAAGAACAUCAGCCUGAAACCAACACAGAUGCACAGAGUGAGGUUCAGCUGUAGAAACAUGGCAGUGCAAGAUGGUGGCCACCUCCUCAUCUACAGUGACAUCUACUGAUGAGACGGAGGACAAACAGAGGUCUCCAUCCAAGCUCGUCACACCGGGGAACUUCAAUGGCCUUCAAAAACCAGAAUGGCGUCACCUUAUGUGUAUGCUGCGUCCUUCAUCUGCAAACUUCAUCUGCUCUGUCAAGCAAUACUAUCAGACCUGACUGAGGGACUGUUGUGUGUAGGGAGGCAAGGAGAGGAAGCAUCCAUCCAUCUUCUACCACUUGGGGUACACCCUGGACAGGUCGCCAGGGCCACAUACAGAGACAAACAACCAUUCACCUUCACACCCACACCUACAGUACUCUCAAUUUAGAGUGUCCAAUUUGUCUAAUUCCCAUAUUGCAUGUUUUUGGACUGUGGGAGAAAACCGGAGAACAUGCAAACUUCAUGCAGAAAGGCGAGAGGAAGCAAAUGCAUCAUUAAACUGCCUAAUGAUUGUGUUUUCUGAGAAGUAGAACCUUGUAGAACUUUAAGUGGAUAGUGUUUUCAGUCGCAUGGCAACCAGGGACGUGUGGUCAUGGGAGGCAGAUGUGUGUGUCAUGUUUACAGUGAGAAGGCACAAGGUGAGGCAGACAUUACCUUGCCGCACUGAAGGGGGCACAUGUGAGCCAAAACUCUCUCGCCGCUAUAAAUGUAAUGUUCUUUAUAGCCAAAUAUGUACCUUACUUAUAUGUGUGUAAAGAAUGUGGAUGAGCUAUGAAACAAUCGUGAAUCGUGAAUUCAUAAAUCAGACUCUGAAUGAGUCACAGCCUCUGCAGCCAUGAACCUCACUGCACGUCACUGAUGACAACCUGCUUACAGCGACCUACCCACCGCCAUACUGACAAACACAGAGUGAGUCGUGUGGCGCUGAUACACUUCAUCAGCCCGGUGUUCCAAUAUAACGUAUACAUUAAAAACCCUGUAUUUGUAUCCCUGUAUUUCUGAAUAUGUGUGUCUUGAUUUCAUCCAUCCAUCGCAGGGACGAGGUCGUGUUAUGAGGGGUGCUUUGCUGGUGAUGGGGGGGUCCUCGGGGGCGGUCCUUUGGUAAUGAGCUGUUAGUCUCUGAGGAAGACGAGCUCUAUUACAGGAACACUGAGCUGCUAUUCUGAGCUUUAAUCUGAGGCUGGUUCACCUUCUCAUGCCGCUCAGCACAGAUUCAUGCUCUCCCUUUGACAACCUGCUGAAUGAAGGGAAGUCAAGAUCUUUGGAUCUGGUUUAAAGCUACAGUGCGUAACUUCUGGUGACUUUGUUGUUGUUGUUGUUAUUCUGCCUGUUUUUUGUGCACAGAGGUGAUGUAACACUAUUUGGAUGCUGCGUCCUACAUUUCAGAUGAAGGUCAUACAAUACUGUCAGAACUUGAACUGAGGGAGCAUUUUGUGUAUGCAGCGCAGGGGCCGACAGGAACAAGGAGGUUUUAUCCUGUCAAUGUGUUGAGCAACCUGGUUUUUUUUAGCAGUAGAAUUCAAUUCUCCAACCUGUUUGCAACCGUCUCACUUUACUAGAGCAAUGUAGAUGUCACUUUUUUGCUUAUUUUAACCAUAAAAGGGCCCAAAAGUGUCCUGUGAGUAAGUGCUUUUGCCCAUUUUUCCAUAAUAACUUUCAAUAUCUGGCAGUUAUUUACAAUUUACUGCAUGCUAAAAUGGUGUAUUAACAAUUUAAAAUGAGGAAAAACAAAAAUUAAAAUAAAUGUG
RNA transcript from Solea solea (common sole), 2517 nucleotides. Lineage: Eukaryota; Metazoa; Chordata; Actinopteri; Pleuronectiformes; Soleidae. The record is from RefSeq and is a predicted model, not a curated record.